This 5688-nucleotide long non-coding RNA is filed under the name Homo sapiens (human). RNAcentral's name for it is "non-protein coding TUG1:48". The stretch from base 812 to 1048 matches the Rfam family "Taurine upregulated gene 1 conserved region 3". Lineage: Eukaryota; Metazoa; Chordata; Mammalia; Primates; Hominidae. The record is from RNAcentral.
GCGCGCCCGGUGGCCGUUGGCGCUCGCGCCGCGUCUUUCUUCUCGUACGCAGAACUCGGGCGGCGGCCUAUGCGUUUGCGAUUCGACGAGGAGUCGUCCGGGUGGUCGGCGGCGGCGGGCAGCUGCUCCGCCCCGCUCCGGGGGAGGCGGCGGCGGCAGCGGCCGCGGGAUUUGGAGCGGCCGGGGAGGCGGGGGUGGCCGGGGCCGGCUUGGAGGCCUGGCGCCACCCUUCGGGGCCUGCAAGGACCCAGUUGGGGGGGCAGGAGGGGGCCGGAGGAUGGGCAGAGACAGAUAAUCUCACUUCCAGAGAAAUGACUUGGAGAAAAAAAAGUGUUGGUCUUUUUGCUCUUUUGUAAUUAAAUCCGGAUGUACCUCAAAAGACUUAAGACUGUGGUGAUAAGAUGCUUUCCUCAGCAGAAAGGAGGGAAAAAAAACAACUGGAACUCAAAGCUUGAAAUUCUGUGGCAAAACAUGAGAUGUCCAGGAUUGGAGGUUGAAAAGAUUUCACUACAGUGUUCUGCAAUAGUUGGAGCAGAUAACUUUCAGUGUAGCCACAGCCAUGGACUCCAGAUUUCCAGAUUUUCAAGACCUGGACCUGGAACCCGAAAGAGCUUGUCACGAUGCGGCAGGAACACUGGAGGUAGAUUUUUUUUUAUUUUUGAAUUUUGGGACUGUUGACCUUGCUGUGAGAAAAGAGACAACGACUGAGCAAGCACUACCACCAGCACUGUUACUGGGAAUUAGAAGACCUGAGUUUCUGUCCAGACCCUCAGUGCAAACUGAGGAUGCUCCAUCCAAAGUGAAUUAUGUCCUGUGCCUCCUGAUUGCUGAGUGUUCACCUGGACCUUCUGACUACCUUCCCUGUGCUAUUCCAUCAGCCUACAGACCUGGUACCUGGAUUUUUGCCCGAGAUGAUUCCUACCACCUUACUACUGACGAAGACACCCAUUCCAGUGGACCACUGUGACCCAGGAGGCAUUCAGCCAUCAUGAUGUGGCCUUUACCUCCACUCCUGUCUUGUUCUACCCAGAUUCAGCACAGCCCUUUAUAGUGAAGUCAGAGUCCUCAAGCCAAAUAGCUAAAGCUGUUUUAUCACAACAAAGGCCUAGUUUGUUCCAUGAGUGUGCAUUUCAUUUCUUCAGUUAAAGCCUUCAGAGACACACAAUAAAUUUGGACCAGGGGAUUUUUUAGUUAUUAAUGCUCUCUGAAGAAAGGCAACAUCUUUUUGAGAGCAGCAUUGGACCACACCCCACAAUCUCAAAUGAUUGAAAUUCAUGAACAUCUAGGAUCCCGUGAAGGUCACUGGACCCUGUUUUUUCUACUUCAAAUCCUGUAGUAGCCUACUGAAUGAGAAAACAUAUUCUGACCCAUUGGGAUCAAAUCAAAGGCACAGUGAACUCCUCAUAGCAUCUUCUUUGGAAUUACUCAGGAACCAGAACUUUUUACACAAAUCAUUUUGUGACCGACUUAUUCUUAGAUCAUUGGUUUUCCAAAGGCUUUGUGGCCAUGAAGCCCUUUGAGUGAAAACUGUGCAGAAGCCCAGAGUAAAAGUGAAGCUGCUCUGGAUGAAGUAGUGAAGCAAGAGUAGGGGCCUGAAUCCUGCUACAACUAUCUUCCUUUACCACCGUGGUGACACCUAAGGGGACUUCCUUACAACACCUUGAACUCUUCCGAACACAGUUUGAAAACCACUGCCCCAGACAGCAAUAUGUUUGACCUGAAUGGCAUUCCAAUCUUUUCUGUACCUCCACUCAGCACAGUUCAUGUUCAGUAGAUGCUGAACAUUCUUAGAAAUACUGUGUGUGAACUUAGAAAAGUGCAAGAAGACAGGCAUGUCUUUGACCCCAGGAAUGAUCAUUUGCUGAAGAUGGUGUCAAGUGAACCUAGAUUAACAGCCCUCCACUCCAGAUGGAUAUCCAGUGAUUCCUAGAAUGGGAUAUAGCCAGAGAACAAUUCUAUGCACCCUACACUGACAGACUCCCUUAAGCAACACCAGAUGCUCUACUGGUACUUGAAGUACAUGACUUUGAAGUCUUGACCCUCCAUGAAUACCUGAAUUAUCAGCAAGCGGGUUUUGAAGCUGGUGCCUCAUUGAGGCCAUAUUAGAGCAACUUGUACAUUUGACCUCUUGUUAUCAGCCAUGGUACUCUACUUCGUGUGCAAGAGAUAACUAUGAAAGCCAAAUUCAAAUACUGGCAACAUUUCCUAAAGGGGCUCAAUAUCUAUCAUUCGUCUUCUUUUCCAAACUACACAUCACUGUAUGACUCAACCAGUAGCAGUUAUAUUGCCCCUUGGUUUUUAUUCAGUUUAACUACUGUUUCCAAGAUAAAUGAGCUAAUAAGCUUUAAAAAAAAAAAAAAAAAAGGCUGAAUUCUUUUUUCUUCAUCACUGGCAUAUCUGCCUAUUCUCCAGAAUUAUUAUGACUAUUCAGCUCACUUUAACAGUUGAACUUCAAGCGACAAUCUUUGAACACCCCUUCUCAUGUGAUUUAAAAUGAAACCAUUUGGAAAAGUUUCUUCUAGCCAGUAAUAGAUUUUUUUUUUAAUUGCUCUGCCUUGUGCCGAGAGAUGUUCUUUUAAGAUGAAUCUUUUGAUGUCUGAUACCACCAAAUAUAGGUGGUAGGGAGAGUUGGAGGCUGGCCCUUUGAGCAGGCCAUUAGCUUACUUGCUGGGCAUUUCCGAUAGCUUAUUGCCUACCUUUUUGCUGGAAACAAACUGAUUUGAAAAACAAAAUCUAUGAAGACUGCAGCUAAGGAUUUUAUCGGUAGACUUAAGAGCUUUUGUCCUUGUGGAUAUUUUAGUGGAACCACAUCAGUCUCAAUACUGUCAUUUUACACUGACUCAGAGCAGCUGACUUCAUUCCUUGCCAUGAUAUAUAUUUAAGGCAGGCAUUGUAACAGACAUAAAGACAACUUAUCUGUUUCAGCAGGAAGGAUUCAGUUUAUGAACUCUCAGACCAGAUCAUGUUGAACAAGGAGACUUUGAUGUGUGUCAUGAGAAAACUCAUUCUUUACUUCCCAGUCAAUUUAAAGGCCAGCUAUCCUGAGCUACUCGAAUGAAUGCACUGGUUAAACAUUGGAAAUAGUUUGUUUAUAUCCUUGUCUCUCUCUAGGCCAAUUGUGAUUACAUGACUCGACUCUACAUCUCGUCAAACAAGGCCUAGGUCUGGUUGCUGUAGACUGCUCGCCCUCAACAAAUAAAAUCUGGUUGACUAGCCUCCUUGUAUAUACAACUAUUAUUUGUUAAGAAGAAAUUAUCGUCAAUUUUCUACUACCUUCCAAUUGUCAGCUCUUUUUUUCCUCUCUGGUUUUUCCUAUACUUUACAGAAAAAGACAUUGAUCUAUACUGCCAUUCCCUCUAAUCCUGCCAUACUCAGUCAAAAGGAAUGACUUAAGAUGAAGAUGAUCAUCUGCUCGAGUCUAAAAUAUACAUUGUAUAUAAGAAUUGGUGAUUAGAAAAGCAAAAAACCUAAAACUUAAAUCUAGGAGUCUGUAUACUGUCUCCAUGUCUCCAUGCCUCAGAUCUCAUCUAAAUCUUUGAACAGCACCAUUCAACCAAUCUGAGGCCUUGACUUGCUUGUAAGAUGAUUCUCAGAGAUCGGCUGAGUUAAAAAAGAUGACGACUUGAUUACCAAAGAAAGUAGGGCCAACUUUGACAAAUCUGGCUCUGCUGACCCUGUCACUCCCAGAUGUAGCAUAGACUCCUAAACAGAACCUCAAGUCUGAUUGAGGAUAAGGCCUUCUCCUGAGCUGAAAGUUCUUUGGCAGAUGAGCAAGAAACUGAAAGCUGAUGUACCUGACUGGCUCUGUAAGAUCAGAAAACUGUAUCCAGAAUAAGCCCUAUGGAUUAACCCCUGAGUACCCAGAGUAAAAACUAAUUUACAGAACUUCCUUAUUGAUCUGCUGGUUCUUCCAGAUCAUAUUCUGGCUAUUGGUAUGGCUGGCCUUUCUGAAGGUACCCUGCUUGUCUAUUUUCCUGACUCAGCUCUUGCCUGCCUUUUUCACAUGUUGCUGCAAUUAGACUCACCGUGAGGACUACAGUCAAUUUCAGUCUAUCUUGUGCCCAAUACAACAAGGAUUUUUAAUAGUAACAACCCACACCUCACCCACUAGGACUCAAUGUUCACAACAGGAAGGACCAUUGCUGCAUACUCCUUGACCAGCAACUUUUUUGAAGAUAUUUUUAAGUGCAGAGUAGGCCUCUAUUCCUGUAUGUAAUUGUUCAUUUUCAGCACCUGGAACCUCAUCUAUCGGGUCUGGAAGGAAUACAGCAGUUCGAAAGCCGCGUCCAUUUCUCUCCUUCAGUAGUGCAGAAAUGAGUCCGAUUCACCAGUACACACAGAACUGUACCAGUUCAACCUAGCAAAAGAAGAAAAGUUUCCACUGUACUUAAAAUUUACAGCUGACUCAAAUUGCCUCACAGAAUUAUUUGAUGUAGAAGGCUAGUUGUCUUACUUCAGAUCAGCAGGACAGUUGGGCUCUCAGACUCAUGACCACUGAGUUUGCUUGUGUUGAAACUGUGGUUUCAUCCAACAUAUGCUAUUGGACAUGAUUAUUAUUCCAUUCAAAUGGAUUACAGACUUCUUGAGGACAGGACAAACUUAUCUCUCAUGGUGUUUUUUUAGAAUACUUUUAUAACCAAGGAAGAAACCAUGCCAGCUGUUACCAUUCAACUUCUUAAGCAGAGAUUAAGCUUUUUCAUAUCUGUUCUUAUCCUGGACAUCAGUAGUUUUUAAUUGCCCAGCAUCCGUUCCAUCUUGUAACAACUCCCUGAUGUUUCUUAAAACCACCUCUUCCUAUUUUCAGUCUGUGGUUUGGACAGUCUGACCCAACCUUGAGCUUUGUGGGUGAACAUGUAAUUCAGACCUCAUCAAUCAGCAAAUCCAUCUGAACUGUGGAGGAGAAGCUCUCUUUACUGAGGGUGCUUUAGCUUUGUAGGAUGAAAACCUCAAACUAACAGGGCCUACCAUGUAGAGAAUGAAGCCAGUGCAGGGGAAAGCAGAGCCAAAAUAUGGAGAGACUUGAAUCCUGAUGACAGCGUUUGUGCCCCUGGAUCCAACCGUGCCUGAAGCUAGAAUAUCCCCUGGACUUUUCAGUUAUGUGAACCAAUAAAUACCCUUUUUUGCUUAAGUUACUUUGAGUUGGGUUUCUGUUACUUGAAAUUGAAUCCACACUAAUAUAUCUACCAACAUUGAGACUUGACAGAUCCAAGUAUUUAUUAAGCUAGAGGUCAUGGUCACUGAAAUUACUUUCCAAAGUGGAAGACAAAAUGAAACAGGAACUGAGGGAAUAUUUAAGAUCCCACAGAAGCGUAAAAAUGACAUGGUAGAAAGUAAUAGAAAACCUAAAUGUCUGUCAUUAAAGGAUAGGUUAAGGUGUGGUUCAGCCAUAUAGGAAUAUCUCGUAUCUGUUAAAAUGAAUAAAGUACAUUCAUUGUGUAUGGAAAAAUGGCCAUGAUACAUUAGGUGAAACAAGUUAUUAAUAGAAAAGUGUACAGUGUGAACUCAUUUUAAAAUGUGUGUGCUUAUGUUUAUAAAUGCAUAGAAAGGUCUAUUCACAGCUUUCUUUGAACAGUGUAGAUCACAUGAAACUUUCAACUUUAUACAUUUCUGUAUUAAUAUUUUACACUACCCACAUUAUUUUUAAACUUUAUUUUAAAUAAAGAAUUUUUAAAAUUAAAUUUAGUGCUU